This is a small nuclear RNA of Dipodomys ordii (Ord's kangaroo rat), 99 nucleotides long. The record is from Ensembl. NCBI's taxonomy places the organism in Eukaryota, Metazoa, Chordata, Mammalia, Rodentia, Heteromyidae.
GCUCACUAGAAUGUUGCAUAUACUAAAAUUGGGGUGAUACAGAGGAGAUUAACAUGACCUCUGUGCAAAGAUGACAUACAAAUUCAGGAAACAGUUUUU